Molecule: non-coding RNA, 272 nt
Organism: Pelobates cultripes (western spadefoot toad)
Lineage: Eukaryota; Metazoa; Chordata; Amphibia; Anura; Pelobatidae
Source: the annotation of a GenBank genome assembly
ACAUGGAGUCAGUGGCGGAUCCAGAGCCUGAUCUCGGGAGGGGCACUUGUAGAUUAUUUAAAGAAAUAAUCCAGACACAAUAACUACUACAGCUCAGUGUAGUGGUUAUGGUGUCAAUAGUGCCGGGACCCCCUCCUAGAGUAAGUAGCCAAACCGUUUAAGAACAGUUUGACAACUUACCUGAGGUCUGCUGGGAAAUGGGGCGGUAGUAGGGCAUAGGAGCAGUGGUGUGUGUGAGUGGUGCAAUGUGUAAGGGGUGCAGUGUGUGUGUG